GACAUGAGUAACAUGCUCCUUGGCAGUAAUUGGAGUCUCCAAGAUCUCACCCUCCCGAGGCAGCUCAAUCUCGGACCUCGGUAGAGCCUCAACUCCAACCUCAUGAACCACCACAGCCUCCACAACCUCCACAUCACGAGGCUGCUCAACCACAGUCUCCGCAACCUCCACAUCACGAGGCUUCUCGAUCGCCGACACUACAAGAGCAUCAGCAACACUCUCCG
Molecule: unclassified non-coding RNA, 224 nt
Filed under: Hevea brasiliensis (rubber tree)
Lineage: Eukaryota; Viridiplantae; Streptophyta; Magnoliopsida; Malpighiales; Euphorbiaceae
Source: RNAcentral